CUGCUCACUUGGGCAACACAUACACUAAAAUUGGAACGACACAGAGAAGAUUAGCAUGGCCCCAUGCAGGGAUGACAGAGAAAUUCACGAAAGUUCCAUAUUUUAU
Molecule: small nuclear RNA, 106 nt
Organism: Lutra lutra (Eurasian river otter)
Lineage: Eukaryota; Metazoa; Chordata; Mammalia; Carnivora; Mustelidae
Source: RefSeq, a predicted model, not a curated record